Molecule: ribosomal RNA, 497 nt
Filed under: uncultured bacterium
Lineage: Bacteria
Description: partial 16S ribosomal RNA
Rfam family: Bacterial small subunit ribosomal RNA
Source: RNAcentral
GAUGAACGCUGGCGGCGUGCCUAAUACAUGCAAGUCGAGCGAACAGAUGAGGAGCUUGCUCCUCUGACGUUAGCGGCGGACGGGUGAGUAACACGUGGAUAACCUACCUAUAAGACUGGGAUAACUUCGGGAAACCGGAGCUAAUACCGGAUAAUAUAUUGAACCGCAUGGUUCAAUAGUGAAAGACGGUUUUGCUGUCACUUAUAGAUGGAUCCGCGCCGCAUUAGCUAGUUGGUAAGGUAACGGCUUACCAAGGCAACGAUGCGUAGCCGACCUGAGAGGGUGAACGGCCACACUGGAACUGAGACACGGUCCAGACUCCUACGGGAGGCAGCAGUAGGGAAUCUUCCGCAAUGGGCGAAAGCCUGACGGAGCAACGCCGCGUGAGUGAUGAAGGUCUUCGGAUCGUAAAACUCUGUUAUUAGGGAAGAACAAAUGUGUAAGUAACUAUGCACGUCUUGACGGUACCUAAUCAGAAAGCCACGGCUAACUACGUG